This 1490-nucleotide ribosomal RNA is filed under the name uncultured bacterium. Its description in RNAcentral is "bacterial SSU rRNA". It matches the Rfam family "Bacterial small subunit ribosomal RNA". The record is from RNAcentral.
AUUGAACGCUGGCGGCAUGCCUUACACAUGCAAGUCGAACGGCAGCACGGACUUCGGUCUGGUGGCGAGUGGCGAACGGGUGAGUAAUGUAUCGGAACGUACCUUUCAGUGGGGGAUAACGUAGCGAAAGUUACGCUAAUACCGCAUAUUCUGUGAGCAGGAAAGCAGGGGAUCGCAAGACCUUGCGCUGAUUGAGCGGCCGAUAUCAGAUUAGCUAGUUGGUGGGGUAAAGGCCUACCAAGGCUACGAUCUGUAGCGGGUCUGAGAGGAUGAUCCGCCACACUGGAACUGAGACACGGUCCAGACUCCUACGGGAGGCAGCAGUGGGGAAUUUUGGACAAUGGGGGCAACCCUGAUCCAGCCAUGCCGCGUGAGUGAAGAAGGCCUUCGGGUUGUAAAGCUCUUUCGGCCGGGAAGAAAUCGCAUAGGUUAAUACCCUGUGUGGAUGACGGUACCGGAAUAAGAAGCACCGGCUAACUACGUGCCAGCAGCCGCGGUAAUACGUAGGGUGCGAGCGUUAAUCGGAAUUACUGGGCGUAAAGCGUGCGCAGGCGGUUUCGUAAGACAGAGGUGAAAUCCCUGGGCUCAACCUGGGAACUGCCUUUGUGACUGCGAAGCUAGAGUACGGCAGAGGGGGGUGGAAUUCCACGUGUAGCAGUGAAAUGCGUAGAGAUGUGGAGGAACACCGAUGGCGAAGGCAGCCCCCUGGGCCGAUACUGACGCUCAUGCACGAAAGCGUGGGUAGCAAACAGGAUUAGAUACCCUGGUAGUCCACGCCCUAAACGAUGUCAACUAGGUGUUGGGUGGGUAAAACCAUUUAGUACCGUAGCUAACGCGUGAAGCUGACCGCCUGGGGAGUACGGCCGCAAGGUUAAAACUCAAAGGAAUUGACGGGGACCCGCACAAGCGGUGGAUGAUGUGGAUUAAUUCGAUGCAACGCGAAAAACCUUACCUACCCUUGACAUGUUCAGAAUCCCGGAGAGAUUUGGGAGUGCCCGAAAGGGAGCUGGAACACAGGUGCUGCAUGGCUGUCGUCAGCUCGUGUCGUGAGAUGUUGGGUUAAGUCCCGCAACGAGCGCAACCCUUGUCGUUAAUUGCCAUCAUUUAGUUGGGCACUUUAACGAGACUGCCGGUGACAAACCGGAGGAAGGUGGGGAUGACGUCAAGUCCUCAUGGCCCUUAUGGGUAGGGCUUCACACGUCAUACAAUGGUCGGUACAGAGGGUUGCCAAGCCGCGAGGUGGAGCCAAUCCCAGAAAGCCGAUCGUAGUCCGGAUUGCAGGCUGCAACUCGCCUGCGUGAAGUCGGAAUCGCUAGUAAUCGCGGAUCAGCAUGUCGCGGUGAAUACGUUCCCGGGUCUUGUACACACCGCCCGUCACACCAUGGGAGCGGGUUCCGCCAGAAGUAGGUAGCCUAACCGCAAGGGGGGCGCUUACCACGGCGGGGUUCGUGACUGGGGUGAAGUCGUAACAAGGUAGCCGUAGGGGAACC